RNAcentral lists this ribosomal RNA (497 nucleotides) under uncultured bacterium. Its description in RNAcentral is "partial 16S ribosomal RNA". It matches the Rfam family "Bacterial small subunit ribosomal RNA", at positions 28 to 507 of the family's 1533-position model. The record is from RNAcentral.
GAUGAACGCUGGCGGCGUGCCUAAUACAUGCAAGUCGAGCGAACGGACGAGAAGCUUGCUUCUCUGAUGUUAGCGGCGGACGGGUGAGUAACACGUGGAUAACCUACCUAUAAGACUGGGAUAACUUCGGGAAACCGGAGCUAAUACCGGAUAAUAUUUUGAACCGCAUGGUUCAAAAGUGAAAGACGGUCUUGCUGUCACUUAUAGAUGGAUCCGCGCUGCAUUAGCUAGUUGGUAAGGUAACGGCUUACCAAGGCAACGAUGCAUAGCCGACCUGAGAGGGUGAUCGGCCACACGGGAACUGAGACACGGACCAGACUCCUACGGGAGGCAGCAGUAGGGAAUCUUCCGCAAUGGGCGAAAGCCUGACGGAGCAACGCCGCGUGAGUGAUGAAGGUCUUCGGAGCGUAAAACUCUGUUAUUAGGGAAGAACAUAUGUGUAAGUAACUGUGCACAGCUUGACGGUACCUAAUCAGAAAGCCACGGCUAACUACGUG